This is a long non-coding RNA of Tupaia belangeri chinensis (Chinese tree shrew), 297 nucleotides long. RefSeq lists it as uncharacterized. The record is from RefSeq and is a predicted model, not a curated record. NCBI's taxonomy places the organism in Eukaryota, Metazoa, Chordata, Mammalia, Scandentia, Tupaiidae. The transcript is spliced from 3 exons.
GGCAGAUCACACGGCCACAGCUUCACCCACGUGCUUGGAGACUCCUCCAUCCACCCCUGGUGAAAAGCAACCCCAGACGUCUGUGUUUGUCGUACGUUUUGUGACAGCCAGUGAGCAUGAAGGGACAGCUGGUCGUUAUGUGGCAGUCACACGGCAUAGACCUGGAGAUCUACAUCCUCCCAGUGAUGAGCUUCGGAGAGUCUUGUUAUCUCUGUCAUCCUAUAAGAAGAACAUCCCUGGAGAUGAGACACGUGGAGCUGAGCUUCCUGGGCAGAAUCCAGCUUAGAUCAGCUGACC